Astyanax mexicanus (Mexican tetra) is the source of this 70-nucleotide transfer RNA. It matches the Rfam family "tRNA". Rfam says of the family: Transfer RNA (tRNA) molecules are approximately 80 nucleotides in length. The record is from Rfam. NCBI's taxonomy places the organism in Eukaryota, Metazoa, Chordata, Actinopteri, Characiformes, Acestrorhamphidae.
GCAUUGGUGGUUCAGUGGUAGAAUUCUCGCCUGCCACGCGGGGGGCCGGGUUCGAUUCCCGGCCAAUGCA